Molecule: ribosomal RNA, 723 nt
Filed under: uncultured organism
Description: bacterial SSU rRNA
Rfam family: Bacterial small subunit ribosomal RNA
Source: RNAcentral
CCUGUCCUGACGUUGAGACCCGAAAGCGUAGGGAGCAAACAGGAUUAGAUACCCUGGUAGUCUACGCCGUAAACGAUGCGCACUAGGUUCGAGAGCUACUGACGGCCCUCGUGCCGAAGCAAAAGUACUAAGUGCGCCGCCUGGGGAGUACGGCCGCAAGGCUAAAACUCAAAGGAAUUGACGGGGGCUCACACAAGCGGUGGAGCAUGUGGAUCAAUUCGAAGCAACGCGAAGAACCUUACCUGGGUUUGACAUGCACGGAUGCCCUUCUGGAAACAGGAGUAAGCUGCCUUCGGGUGAAACGUGCACAGGUGCUGCAUGGCUGUCGUCAGCUCGUGCUGUGAAGUGUCGGGUUAAGUCCCUUAACGAGCGAAACCCUUGUCGCUAGUUGCCAGCGGGUCAUGCCGGGAACUCUAGCGAGACUGCCGGCGUUAAGCCGGAGGAAGGUGGGGAUGACGUCAAGUCAUCAUGGCCUUUAUGCCCAGGGUGUCACACGUGCUACAAUGGGGCGUACAGAGCGACGCAAGACCGUGAGGUGGAGCAAAUCGCAGAAAGCGUCCCUCAGUUCGGAUCGGGGUCUGCAACUCGACCCCGUGAAGCUGGAAUCGCUAGUAAUCGCGUAUCAGCCAUGACGCGGUGAUAUGUUCCUGAGCAUUGACACACCGCCCGUCAAGUCAUGNAGCUGGAGUUCUCGAAGUCGCUGCGUUUCAGCAGUGCCGACGG